GAUGAACGCUGGCGGCGUGCCUAAUACAUGCAAGUCGAGCGAAGCGGGGACGGGUGAGUAACACGUGGAUAACCUGCUAUAAGAAUGGGAAUACUUCGGGGAACCGGAGCUUAAACGGAUACUUAUACAAGGAUCUGCGCUGCAUUUGCUAGGUGGUAAGGUAACGGCUUACCAAGGCAACGAUGCAUAGCCGACCUGAGAGGGUGAUCAGCCACACGGGAACGGAGACACGGUCCAGACUCCUACGGGAGGCAGCAGUAGGGAAUCUUCCUCAAUGGGCGAAAGCCUGACGGAGCAACGCCGCGUGAGUGAUGAAGGUCUUCGGAUCGUAAAGCUCUGUUAUUAGGGAAGCGGUACCUAAUCAGAAAGCCACGGCUAACUACGUGCCAGCAGCCGCGGUAAUAC
This 405-nucleotide ribosomal RNA is filed under the name uncultured bacterium. RNAcentral's name for it is "partial 16S ribosomal RNA". It matches the Rfam family "Bacterial small subunit ribosomal RNA", at positions 28 to 526 of the family's 1533-position model. The record is from RNAcentral.